RNAcentral lists this ribosomal RNA (383 nucleotides) under uncultured cyanobacterium. RNAcentral's name for it is "bacterial SSU rRNA". It matches the Rfam family "Bacterial small subunit ribosomal RNA", at positions 376 to 774 of the family's 1533-position model. The record is from RNAcentral. Lineage: Bacteria; Bacillati; Cyanobacteriota.
CGAAAGCCUGACGGAGCAACGCCGCGUGAGGGACGAAGGCCUCUGGGCUGUAAACCUCUUUUCUCAAGGAGGAAGAUAUGACGGUACUUGAGGAAUAAGCCACGGCUAAUUCCGUGCCAGCAGCCGCGGUAAUACGGGAGUGGCAAGCGUUAUCCGGAAUUAUUGGGCGUAAAGCGUCCGCAGGCGGCCUUUCAAGUCUGCUGUUAAAGCGUGGAGCUUAACUCCAUCAUGGCAGUGGAAACUGAUCGGCUUGAGUAUGGUAGGGGCAGAGGGAAUUCCCGGUGUAGCGGUGAAAUGCGUAGAUAUCGGGAAGAACACCAGUGGCGAAGGCGCUCUGCUGGGCCAUUACCGACGCUCAUGGACGAAAGCCAGGGGAGCGAAAG